CUCCAGACUCCUACGGGAGGCAGCAGUGGGGAAUAUUGCACAAUGGGGGAAACCCUGAUGCAGCGACGCCGCGUGAGCGAUGAAGUAUUUCGGUAUGUAAAGCUCUAUCAGCAGGGAAGAAGAUGACGGUACCUGACUAAGAAGCCCCGGCUAACUACGUGCCAGCAGCCGCGGUAAUACGUAGGGGGCAAGCGUUAUCCGGAUUUACUGGGUGUAAAGGGAGCGUAGACGGCGGCGCAAGCCAGAUGUGAAAGCCCGGGGCUCAACUCCGGGACUGCAUUUGGAACUGUGUGGCUGGAGUGUCGGAGAGGCAGGCGGAAUUCCUAGUGUAGCGGUGAAAUGCGUAGAUAUUAGGAGGAACACCAGUGGCGAAGGCGGCCUGCUGGACGAUGACUGACGUUGAGGCUCGAAAGCGUGGGGAGCAAACAGGAUUAGAUACCCGUGUAC
This 447-nucleotide ribosomal RNA is filed under the name uncultured bacterium. RNAcentral describes it as "bacterial SSU rRNA". It matches the Rfam family "Bacterial small subunit ribosomal RNA", at positions 329 to 793 of the family's 1533-position model. The record is from RNAcentral.